Solanum dulcamara is the source of this 1271-nucleotide RNA transcript. RefSeq lists it as uncharacterized. The transcript is spliced from 5 exons. Lineage: Eukaryota; Viridiplantae; Streptophyta; Magnoliopsida; Solanales; Solanaceae. The record is from RefSeq and is a predicted model, not a curated record.
UCCCUUUUAACUUGCUUCCCCAUUCAAUUUCACAGUGCCCACAACAAGAAGGCAGCCAUUCUCUUUCUCCUUCGACAGCCUUUCUUGUUUUCCACCAUCGCCGUGGUCAUUUCUCUUCUGAAAAAAACCCAUAAUUCUUCCACACAUAGUACCUUUUUUCUUGUUUUCAACAUAUAUUUCAGCCAAAAGGGUGAUUUUUCAGUCCUCUGUUUUGUAAUGGCUACUGCACCGGUAAAAUCUCAGCCUCUGCACUAUUUCUCUCUACCCCAAUUGAAGUGGGGUAACAAAAGCCACACAAAUGCUAACCACCGCUUCCGCCGCCGCGAUUCUCCUCCGUCUACUGGAGAUAACCCACCCCAAACCGCCGACUUGGACGGUGGUUCCGACUCCGAGAAGGUCCAACCCCGAUCGGCGGCAGACCCAAAUGGGGUUUCGUCUUGUCAAAGAGAAGACGAAAAUGAAAAAGAGGUUAAAGAAGAAGAAGAAGAAGAAGAAGGGGAGGUGAAGUUAUGGAAUCUAAGGCCGAGAAAGAGUGUGAUGAAGGUUGAAACGGUGUCGUUGAAGAACGUUGAAAUGCCAGUUGAAAGUAUGCAGAGGUCGCAGAGGUUGAAAGAUAACGUGGGUGUACAUGGAGUCGGGUCGGGUAAGAAGGGGAAAAGGAAAUUAUGGAUCUCACUGUCAAGGGAGGAGAUUGAGGAAGAUGUGUAUUCUAUGACCGGUUCAAGACCCGCUAGAAGACCCAAAAAAAGAUCCAAGACAAUUCAGAAACAACUCGAUAAUGUUUUCCCUGGGUUGUAUUUAGUAGGCCUUACUGCUGACUCAUUCAGAGUCAAUGAUACUACGAAGUAGAUAUGGCAUAGCUGGUGUAUCUGAAUUUUUGCUACUGUGGAAAAGAUUUUGCAAGGAUUGAGGAACACAAGGGGUGGAAAGCUUAGAGUUUUGAGGACUGCUGCAUUCGUGCCUCGACUGUAGGAGAUCAUUCCCCAAUAUCCUUGCUCACAAGAACAAAGGAUCCCUUUACCGUCGUCGUAUUUCACCAGACCAUCAUUGCAUUUCAAGGAAACUUCCAAAAAAAUUAAUCGAGGACUGAGCUACUGAAGCAAGUUUAGUCUGCUGGAUGCACAAAUAUAUCAGCAUCCUCUGUAUAUAUAUCUCUCUGCUCUCCCUUCUCCCUCUUUUAGGCUAUUCAUUGUUGGUUAUGGAGGGACAGAAAUGGUAGUUUUGAACCUCUUGGUAAACAUGGAAAGCUUGUGCCACUUUAUACCUUACAU